Alligator sinensis (Chinese alligator) is the source of this 843-nucleotide long non-coding RNA. RefSeq lists it as uncharacterized. NCBI's taxonomy places the organism in Eukaryota, Metazoa, Chordata, Crocodylia, Alligatoridae. The record is from RefSeq and is a predicted model, not a curated record. The transcript has 4 exons.
UUGAAGCAUAACGCUGAUCCUACCAGAGCUGCCUUGGGGAUUCUCUUUUCAGGAUCAAACGGUGCUUCACUAAAGAGAAGCUUUGAGUAAAGGGCUCAGUCAGAGACCAAUGAAGAGCUGACAGAGGUGCCUGGUUGAAAAUUUGUUAAUGACUUCAGCAGAGUGGCCAAGGGCUGGCAAAGCCCAAUUCCCUUCUCAUCCUGGGAGGCAGCCUCUCUGGCUCAGGCUGGCCUACGAACUGGCAACGGGCUGCAGAGCCCCUCCCUGUCAGGCAGAUGACUUGAUCCCCAGUGACAAAAGUCCUCAUCAGCCUGUGGUAGGCCAGGGCCUGUGUGAGAUGGAAAAACUGAGGCACAGAGUGAGGAAGUGGAUUACCUGAGGUCACCCAGAAACCAAUAGCAGAGCAGGGAAUAGAAUCUAAAUGUGAAAUUCAAGCUUCGUCUGUCUUGAUUUUCUUGGACAACUCUAUGGACAGCUGAAGAAAUAGUUGUUUUGUAACUUCAUAAGAGACAGAAACUGAAGAAACUGAGAGAAAAGGGCUGUUUAGUUGGCUGUUUAAAAUGGAGUCUUUUUGUUGUUGCUUUUGUUAACACCAAUCUUAUGUACCUAAAGCUGCUGGGGGAAAAAAAGCUGUUUUUGUGAAAAAUAAAAAAACAAAAAACAAAACCCCUCAACAUCAAAAACCAAAACAAACUUCACUUUAGGGCCAUUUUAAAUUCUUCCAGCAAAAUGAAAGAAGUCAAGAAUCACUAUUUCUACCAUGAGGAAACAAGCAGGAAACUCCCUUUGUUUCUGAGGCUUUGAUUUUGUAUGCUAAUUAAACAAAGGGCAUGGGCCUUUGUA